RNAcentral lists this small RNA (491 nucleotides) under Pongo abelii (Sumatran orangutan). Its description in RNAcentral is "retained intron". Lineage: Eukaryota; Metazoa; Chordata; Mammalia; Primates; Hominidae. The record is from RNAcentral.
CAAAGCAAAGCACCCAAUGGACACAGAAGUCACCAAAGCCAAGAUCAUUGGAUUUGGUUCUGCACUUCUUGAAGAAGUUGAUCCCAAUCCUGCGAAUUUCGUGGGAGCUGGAAUCAUCCACACGAAAACCACCCAGAUCGGAUGCCUGCUGCGCCUGGAGCCGAACCUGCAAGCCCAGGUCAGGCCCUCAGGAAAUGGCUGAACACACUUGAGUUGCUUGUUAUUCUGGCACAAUGUACAUGGUGAGAUGUGUAGCUCUUUAGUGCAGCUCAGUCAGUUUUGACAGAUGUUGUGUGCCCGUUUGACCACUACCCCAUCAAUACGUGGUUGCAUCCCAGCCUCCCCACAGCUGGCCACCAUGGAGCAUUGUCCCACCAUGGAGCAGCCUGGCCCUGGGCGGUGGCUCUCCCAGCUGCUCCUCUGUCACCGCGUUGUUCCUUCUCACCACGUCCCAUUCUGUCGACGGACACCUGUCUCCGUUUCACUCAGGC